AUGUCUUCUAAUUGGAGCUCUUUGCUUCCAUUCUAUUGAUAUAAGAUUAUAUGGCUGAUUCAUAAGAUAGCAGCAGAAUUACUUCGAUUGAUUAAGAGAUCAGGUUAGACAUUAUGGAUUUAAUAUCUAAGUUGUUUAUCUUCAGAACUUUACGCAGGAAAUUGUGAGCUCUCUUCAACAGAACAUGCAUUAGUGUAGCAAUUAGACGGUUAAACUGUAGAUGAUCACAAGUUUAAGGGAAGAUUAUGGAUAUACAAUUUGUUCUUUUUAGAAACGUACAUAUACAUAUAAAUAUGGUCCCUGCUUUGUUAUUACAUAGGCAGCACGCAAGUUGUGUAUUAAACUUGUGUAAGACAAAGCAUAUUGAGAAAAAGGACAUUACCCAUGUCCUUAGUAGCUGUUCAGUCUAGUCGUGUCUCUUAAAACAAAUCAAAUGGUCCACCUUAGAUUUUGAAUAUCAUCAUAUAACAACUGAUAUUUGUUGAUUUUAAAAGAAAACUAACAGCUUCCACUUUCCAGGAAUGUGUGAUCUGAUGUUAUGAAUUUGCUGCUUUUCCAUUAUCGCUAAUGCAGAGAUGAAGUUUGGUCCGAAAGAGAAACGGCUGGAUUGAUGCACCGCGUAGCUUAUUAUUUAAUAUAGGAGAGGAUGGGAAAUGGAAGCAGAGAUAAAAGAGAAAAAGUAAUUGCAUGGAGACGCACGUGAGAAAGAAAUGGCUUCCAUAGAAGUAGGUGUGGACGAAGGCAAUAAAGUCAAGACAGUGAAAGGGUAUCCGAAAGUGGG
RNAcentral lists this long non-coding RNA (781 nucleotides) under Ricinus communis (castor bean). RNAcentral describes it as "long non-coding RNA (RCOM_LNC000188)". Lineage: Eukaryota; Viridiplantae; Streptophyta; Magnoliopsida; Malpighiales; Euphorbiaceae. The record is from RNAcentral.